CCAAUAUCCUUGCUCCAUUUGAACUCUAACAACUGAAAAGGAAAACUCCUGGACCACCUGAGCACAGCAAGUACUUCAUCUCUCAGUGCCUUUCCUACCUCUCUUUGCCAGCCCCCUUGGUCUAGCCUGUCAGCCUCUGAACCAUGCCAAUCCCAUCUCACUCCCCAGCACCCACCAAAAACACUUCAUUCCAGUGCCUCCCCCACUUAUCUCUGUUACAAGCACCUCACCAGGGAAAGAAAAGUACCCACCCCUGCCAAAAAAGAACAACUGCCAUGUAUUGUGGACCACGUGAAAGGGAACCAUACCCUCUUUGACACCCUCACCAACUGCCACUUAGUAAUGGUUGCCCUGCCCUAUUGGUUGGGACACUCGGGUUUUUUGAUGUUUACAGAGUAAAAGCAGACAGGCACCAGUGCCUGGACCAUGGGGCACUCAUUUUCACAUACAAUGCAGAGGCACAUUUCCUCUCCAAGACUUGGUUCCCUGACCACCAGGGCUUUAUCAAAGACCACUCACAGAGACAUCAGUUUGCCAACAAAGGUCUGUAUAGUCAAAGCUAUGGGUUUCCCAGUAGUCGUGUAUGGGUGUUAGAGUUGUACCAUAAAGAAGGCUGAGCACUGAAGAAAUGACGCUUUUGAACUAUGGUGUUGGAAAAGACUCUUGAGAGUCCCUUGGAAUGCAAGGAGAUCAAUCCAGUCAAUCCUAAAGGAAAUCAGUCCUGAAUAUUCACUGGAAGGACUAAUACUGAAACUGAAGCUCCAAUACUUUGGCCACCUGAUGUGAAGAACUGACUCACUGGAAAAGACCCUGAUGCUGAGAAAGACUGAAAGCAGGAGGAGAAUGGGGUGACAGAGAAUGAGAUGGUUGGAUGGCAUCACUGACUCAAUAGACAUGAGUUUGAGCAAACUCGGGAGAUACUAAAGGACAGAGAAGCCUGGUGUGCUGCAGUCCAUGAGGUCACAAAGAGUCAGACAUGAUUUAGCUACUGACAACAACAACUCAUUCCAAACAUGGCUAAGUCUAAACAAUGAUAAACUGAACUGUGGGGAAGAAUUCUAGGCUGGAUUUGAUUAAUAAGAAGACAAAAACAAUACAGUAGUCAGCGUGUAGGGAGUUUCAUCACAUUUCAAAACAGGGCUAAGCACUUGACAUAUAUUAUCUCAUUUAUGCCUCACAACAGGCCUAUGCAAUAGGAGCUAAUGAUUGUCUCUGUUUUAUACAUGUUCCUCUUGAGGCUUGGGCUUCUCCAGUGGCUCAUCAGUAAAGAAUCUGCCUGCAAUACAGGAGACUCAGCCUGGAGAAAUAGAAAGCUCUUUAAAAUAUCGGGUAUUGUGACUAUUUAGGCAAUCCAGUCCCAGUUGAUGUCACAGAUGGUGGCCUGUCCGCCUCACUCCUCUCACCUCAGAAGAUGCCAAUGAUGUGGGUGGGAGAUUUCAAAAAACAGCUGUCCCCCGGGGGCGAAUAGUCACUCCAGACCAGCUCUGCUUUAAGUUCCUUCUCCCUAGUUGGCCUGCAGACCGUGGUAGGCAACACGGACAUCCAAGACAGACAUCCCUGAGUUGACUCCUCUUCGAGCAUUUACUCUCUGUGCCAGCUCCAAGCCUUUCUUUCGCAUCCAUAAACUAGG
This is a long non-coding RNA of Bos taurus (domestic cattle), 1630 nucleotides long. The record is from Ensembl. Lineage: Eukaryota; Metazoa; Chordata; Mammalia; Artiodactyla; Bovidae.